Molecule: ribosomal RNA, 373 nt
Filed under: uncultured organism
Description: partial 16S ribosomal RNA
Rfam family: Bacterial small subunit ribosomal RNA
Source: RNAcentral
GUAGGAUCCGAGCGUUAUCCGAAUUUACUGGGCGUAAAGCGCGUGUAGGCGGUCGGGUAAGUUGGACGUGAAAGCUCCUGGCUCAACUAGGAGAGGUCGUUCAAAACUGCCUGGCUAGAGGGCGACAGAGGGAGGUGGAAUUCCCGGUGUAGUGGUGAAAUGCGUAGAUAUCGGGAGGAACACCAGUGGCGAAGGCGGCCUCCUGGGUCGCACCUGACGCUCAGGCGCGAAAGCUAGGGGAGCGAACGGGAUUAGAUACCCCGGGUAGUCCUAGCUGUAAACGAUGUGGACUUGGCGUUGGUGGGGUUAAAUCCCAUCAGUGCCGUAGCUAACGCGAUAAGUCCACCGCCUGGGGACUACGGUCGCAAGAUUA